This 807-nucleotide ribosomal RNA is filed under the name uncultured bacterium. Its description in RNAcentral is "bacterial SSU rRNA". It matches the Rfam family "Bacterial small subunit ribosomal RNA", at positions 8 to 796 of the family's 1533-position model. The record is from RNAcentral.
AGAGUUUGAUCCUGGCUCAGGAUGAACGCUGGCGGCGUGCCUAAUACAUGCAAGUCGAGCGAAUGGAUUAAGAGCUUGCUCUUAUGAAGUUAGCGGCGGACGGGUGAGUAACACGUGGGUAACCUGCCCAUAAGACUGGGAUAACUCCGGGAAACCGGGGCUAAUACCGGAUAACAUUUUGAACCGCAUGGUUCGAAAUUGAAAGGCGGCUUCGGCUGUCACUUAUGGAUGGACCCGCGUCGCAUUAGCUAGUUGGUGAGGUAACGGCUCACCAAGGCAACGAUGCGUAGCCGACCUGAGAGGGUGAUCGGCCACACUGGGACUGAGACACGGCCAGACUCCUACGGGAGGCAGCAGUAGGGAAUCUUCCGCAAUGGACGAAAGUCUGACGGAGCAACGCCGCGUGAGUGAUGAAGGCUUUCGGGUCGUAAAACUCUGUUGUUAGGGAAGAACAAGUGCUAGUUGAAUAAGCUGGCACCUUGACGGUACCUAACCAGAAAGCCACGGCUAACUACGUGCCAGCAGCCGCGGUAAUACGUAGGUGGCAAGCGUUAUCCGGAAUUAUUGGGCGUAAAGCGCGCGCAGGUGGUUUCUUAAGUCUGAUGUGAAAGCCCACGGCUCAACCGUGGAGGGUCAUUGGAAACUGGGAGACUUGAGUGCAGAAGAGGAAAGUGGAAUUCCAUGUGUAGCGGUGAAAUGCGUAGAGAUAUGGAGGAACACCAGUGGCGAAGGCGACUUUCUGGUCUGUAACUGACACUGAGGCGCGAAAGCGUGGGGAGCAAACAGGAUUAGAUACCCUGGUAGUCC